This 267-nucleotide non-coding RNA is filed under the name Betaproteobacteria bacterium. Lineage: Bacteria; Pseudomonadati; Pseudomonadota; Betaproteobacteria. The record is from RNAcentral.
GUCCGCAAUCAGCUGCAAGGUGUCCGCGAUGCAUGCCUAUGUGCCGCGGAUGAAACGGGAAUCAGGUGCGUUGCCGUCCCCACGGGCGGCGCAAAUCCUGGACUGCCCCCGCAACGGUAAGCGAGGGGGUGCACACCCGGCCACUGUGAAGUUGGGAAUGACCGGGAGCCUCGGCUCCCGAACCCUAAGUUCACGGGAAGGCGUGCACCCGGUGGUUCGACCCACCAACUCGCGAGUCCGGAGACCGGCCUUGGAGCCUCUCAUUCA